Molecule: non-coding RNA, 2274 nt
Organism: Arachis ipaensis
Lineage: Eukaryota; Viridiplantae; Streptophyta; Magnoliopsida; Fabales; Fabaceae
Source: RefSeq, a predicted model, not a curated record
AACACGUGGUCCAUUCUCCAUUCUCAUUUAUUCACACAUUUUUCCCAAAUUGAGAGAGAGAGGAGCUCGAGAAAUUGAGGAGAGAAGAGAAAUCUCAAGCUAAAAAUAGUAUUCACCUCUCUCUCUUCAAAUCUACUUUUCUCACAAAUUGGAGCUCUGAUCGACGACCUGUUUGCGGCUACGCGUUUUUCUCGUCUCGCUCUACAUUUCUAUACUAUUUUGUAGUGAGUAAUCACGAGAACCUUAUCUCGUUCCUCCAAUCUUUACUGACUUCGCAUUUUUGGGUAUGUGGGUGUUGAAAUUUGUGAUUUUGAUACUUUAGCGAAAGUUCAAGCUUAAUUUCUAAUGGAAUUUUGACCUAUGAUAAUGUAGAGUAAGAUUGAACAAAGUUGCUUAAAUGCUUGGCUUGGUUGGUGUGGAUUGAGGCUUGAAUUGAGUGCUUGGUUUGAAUUGGUCAGAGAAAGAGGUUCAAAAGGAUAGAAACUACCAUCAAUUAAGUCCCCAUCCUCAUCACCAUUCGCCUCCAAAAUUUCGUCACUGGUCACUUCCCACGACUCCAGCCAUCGUCGCCGUUGAGGAGUGUCCACCUAGAGCUUGUUUCUGCAUUGGGACGUCGCGUUAUCUCCUCUACGAGUUGUUGCCACCACUUGCUUCCAUCAGUUGUGACGCGUCCCUUCUCCCUUCAUCCAGGUAGAUAUAUCAAGCAAAGAUAGUGGCUGGAGUCAGAGUCGUGGUUGGGGUAGAGGGCUGGUGACUCACACCCUAGAGACUACUCAGUCACCCUCUACAUCGACUAUGCUUGCGACAUCACAGGCACAAGUCCCAUAACACCAGCCAUUCAUCAUGAUCCCAACCCCAAUUAUGUGGGUCCUAUGAUGGUUGCUUCUCCUCAUCCUCAGCUAGAGCAGACUCUUCCACCCCCUCAGCAGACCCCUACAUUCACGCCACCCCCCGUGACAGGCUCUACAGCAAUGCCAACCUCCCUUCAUGGAUCCCAGCCAAAUCCUGCAGCACAACAGAUCACUAAGAUGACGAUUUAUCCUGAUGGAAUGACUGGAUAAAAACUUCUCUAACUCGUAUAUAAAUACAAUUUACAUUGAAAUUGUUUUAAUGUAUAUUUUUACUAAGUGUAAGUUCUUCGUACGUAAGUUUGCACUGGAUAAUAAUGCUUGUAUACAGGAGUGUACAAAGAUUAUCAAGCUAAUGUACCCUUGGCUGAGCUACAAGAAGGUUCCUCAUGAUAUCAAAAUGUGAUGGUUUGAUAAGAGACAGAAAAAUUCAUGUGGGAUGAGGCCCAGCACUAGAUGAUAAAAAAAGAUCUUCCACCACCGCAUGGCUAAACGUUUUCAGCAGAUGUUAGAGGACGUGUGGAUAAGGAGUGAUAACCAUUUGCAGUGUCUUCAACCUGACAUUAAAAAUAUCUUAUAUUUGUACAGCAAGACGGAUGAGGGUUUCAGACAUCUCCAAGCCACGAAUAGAGCCAACAGGGCAUCAACCAAGGCAUUGAAGUACACAAGAAGGUUGGCCACGAUUAUGAAAAUAAGGGCCAAAAUAGUAUAAAUUCUUUUAACAUGUUAAGCUAGUUUUAUCUUUGUUUCCUUAAUUAAUUGUCACUUCUUUUGAUCUGCUUGUCCAAUAUAUGAAGACAAAUUCAUUGGACUAUCAUGUUACCAUGGCAAUGGUCUUCAAACAAGUCCAUGCGCUCAAGGAGAACAAGGAAAGAUUUGUUGCUCUACGAUAGUUUACAUGAGUAAUCGACUAAAAUAAUUUAAUAACAUACUAUUAUAACUAUAGUUAUCUUAACACUCACAUGUCAUGUGUUAGGAUUUAUACACUCAGAACUUUGAGGUUGCAACCUAGCAAUUUCAGCAAAAUGGGGAGGAUGGCAACGCCUCAAGUGCAUCCGUGGUGAAUCUUGAUGCGGUGAGCUCCUCGAUCGCACACAUGGAAGAGAGAGAUGCUUGGAUGUGAAGAUAAAGUCCUUGAAAUAGGAGUUCAGAUAGGAGCUGAAGCAGAUACUGCACAUGCAACAUCAGAUAGCGAUCUACUAUGAGCAUAUGUGCGUGGGUGACAAUGCCGCUACUGGAGGAGGGGGAUCCUUGUCAUCUGCACUUGCACCCCGCAUCAAGACAGGCCACACGAUUAGGAGGAGGAGGACGCCGGCAAUUACGAGGUUCCAUAGAUAUUAGGAUUUUGUUUUGUCUAGUGUGACAUUACUAUUUUUUAUUUGGUUACAUUGACAACAUCACUUUAUUUUAUUUUUGACAUUUUUUA